GGUGUCCAAACAAUCCCAUUCUCGUUUAUCCAAUGACAGACUUCAAUUAGGCCGGGGCCAAAACCUAACAGCUUAAAAGCACGUUGAUUUGGAUUCCAAGAUGAUGUGUCAUAAUGGCAUGCCAUGAUUGCAUGAUUCACUUUCUUCUGAGAAGGUAUAUCAACUUCAUAUACUUUUACUUUUUGUAUCACAUGACAAUAAUAGACUUGAAAUAAGAAUGGCAUGCUAUGACAUAAAGCUGGUGCAAGGAGGUUCCCAUGGAC
Telopea speciosissima is the source of this 263-nucleotide long non-coding RNA. RefSeq lists it as uncharacterized. NCBI's taxonomy places the organism in Eukaryota, Viridiplantae, Streptophyta, Magnoliopsida, Proteales, Proteaceae. The transcript has 3 exons. The record is from RefSeq and is a predicted model, not a curated record.